This 119-nucleotide ribosomal RNA is filed under the name Triticum dicoccoides. The record is from RNAcentral. Lineage: Eukaryota; Viridiplantae; Streptophyta; Magnoliopsida; Poales; Poaceae.
AGAUGCGAUCAUACCAGCACUAAAGCAUCGGAUCCCAUCAGAACUCCGAAGUUAAGCAUGCUUGGGCGAGAGUAGUACUAGGAUGGGUGACCUCCUGGGAAGUCCUCGUGUUGCAUUCC